AGCGGCCGUUUCACGCUCCCUCUCUUACAAAUGCCUCUUUCAAAACGAUCAUCUUCUCCCUAACCGAAAGCUACCCAGCUGCGGUGCGUUCCGCAGCUAACUACAUAUAAUACACUAAGACGUAUUUCCUUACUAUUAUCAUUUCAGAGAGAGAAAAAGUUUUUACCUGAGGAGAGACAGAGACAGAGAGAGAUGAGGUUCGUAACUCGAAAGCAACCUUCUGUGUGAUGAGAGAGAAAGCCUGCCUCGUAUCCCUAUAAAGGUUCAAUACGAAUUUCGCACCGAUUGCACCCAAUGCCAGGAGAAAUAGUUUCGAUUGAAGAAAAUGAGAGGGGUAAAUUGUUCGAUAUCAAUACAUCAGAGGACGAAAAGCGAAGAACUCGAGCCAGAUCUUUAAGGAGAAGAGCAGCGAAUGCUUCAACAAAACUAACGCAUAGUCUUAAAAAACGCACAAACCGAGUCGCUGAUUGCCGAUAUGCAGGGAUUUCUAUUGAAGACGUCAGGGACACAGAGGAGGAGAAAGCUGUAAAUGCCUUUCGACAAGCAUUGAUUGCCAAA
This is a non-coding RNA of Carica papaya (papaya), 558 nucleotides long. Lineage: Eukaryota; Viridiplantae; Streptophyta; Magnoliopsida; Brassicales; Caricaceae. The record is from RefSeq and is a predicted model, not a curated record.